GAUGAAGAACGUAGCGAAAUGCGAUAAGUAAUGUGAAUUGCAGAAUUCAGUGAAUCAUCGAAUCUUUGAACGCACCUUGCUCUCCUUGGUAUUCCGAGGAGCAUGCCUGUUUGAGUGUCAUUAAAUUCUCAACCUCACCAGUUUUGUUAUGAGACUGUGUAAGGCUUGGAUGUGGGGGUUUUUGCAGGCUGCCUCUGUGCGGUCUGCUCCCCUGAAAUGCAUUGGCGAGUUCACUAAGCUCCGUCUAUUGGUGUGAUAAUUAUCUACGCCGUGGAAUGGGUUUAGACUUGCUUCUAACCGUCUGCAAAGACAACUUUUGACAAUUUGACCUCAAAUCAGGUAGGACUACCCGCUGAACUUAAGCAUAUCAAUAAGCGGAGGA
Molecule: unclassified non-coding RNA, 382 nt
Filed under: soil metagenome
Description: partial contains 5.8S ribosomal RNA, internal transcribed spacer 2, and large subunit ribosomal RNA
Rfam family: 5.8S ribosomal RNA (bases 1-120)
Source: RNAcentral